CACAGGUUCUGGGUAAAUAAAAGCUUUGUUACAAAAUAAAAUAGCUUGGUCUUAAUAUUACAUCUAUUUAAGGAAAGGAACAGAUUUUGCAUCCAGUUCCCCCCGGAGAAUCUUCCCCACAAUUAAAUCAUAGCUGAAAAGGAAACUAUCCUUGGAAUAAGCACUGUCCUGUCCUCUUUCUAAGGGGACUCCAAACAGGAAAUUGGUUUCCCCUGUCAGGAACUUCUGGCACCUUGGUAGAUCUUUAUCACAUCACAGAAUUACAGAUUUUAGAACUGGAAGGAACCCUGAAGGUCAAUCACUCAGCUCCUCAAGGCUUCCUUCUUUCAAGAGGACAGGAUAGCCAUCACUGGAGGCGUGCGGGACCCCAGGACACAACUGAAAAUGUGUCUUCGUGGUUUGGUGGUCCUGUGUUAGAAAAUCAGGGUGAUCUGACUACCUGGGUUUGGAGAUGGGCAUCUUGUUUUCUGGCAGAAUUGAGGAAAGCAAGGCUGCUUUAGGCUGUGUGUAAAAUUGUAAACUGGUUCUCAGAACAAACUCCAAGUCACACCUAUCUGAAGCCGGCUUGACGGCAGGGAGAGCUGGAGAGCGGAAGAAUGUGCUGAGGAAGGGAGUGCUCGGUACUUUUCCAUUCACAUCUCCACAGUGGCUUUUCUUGUUUAUUUCAACCUCCACCAGCGGAACCCUGUCAGCUGCCUGAAAUCCGAGUCAUUAAACUGUUCCCUGAGUCUAUUUAUGAGAAAAGUAUCAGACAAAUUUCAACAGAAGGGCAUCCUACAAAAGUGUUCACCAGUAUUCCACAGAACUAUCAAGGAAAGUCUGAGAAAUUGCAGCAGCCAAGAGUAGCCUCAGAAGAUAUGACAACUUAAUGUAAUGUAGUAUCCCGGAUGGGAUCAUGAAACAGAAAAAGGUAAGGUAAACCCAGACAAAUCUGAAUAAAAUGAGGAGCUUUAGUUAAUAAUAUUGUAUCAGUAUUGUUUCAUUAGUUG
Long non-coding RNA from Physeter macrocephalus (sperm whale), 989 nucleotides. RefSeq lists it as uncharacterized. NCBI's taxonomy places the organism in Eukaryota, Metazoa, Chordata, Mammalia, Artiodactyla, Physeteridae. The record is from RefSeq and is a predicted model, not a curated record. The transcript is spliced from 3 exons.